Long non-coding RNA from Ictidomys tridecemlineatus (thirteen-lined ground squirrel), 3496 nucleotides. RefSeq lists it as uncharacterized. Lineage: Eukaryota; Metazoa; Chordata; Mammalia; Rodentia; Sciuridae. The record is from RefSeq and is a predicted model, not a curated record.
UCCUAAAACAUCCAAACAGAACUGCUCUCUGGCCCAGGCGAUCCGGGCCAGCCACAGGCGCAGCAAGGCGGGGGGCCUGCAGGCUUGCUCUGCAGGGCUUGAAGAGAGACAGCUCGGCAACAAGCACCCAGCGCGCCUCGGGUUAAAACCAUGCCAAGGGAGGAAGAGCACCACCUCCACGGCCAGCUGGGCUAACCAAAGGCUCCGGGAACAGGACUCUGAAGGAUGAAUGACUCAGAGACAUCUCCAGAAGUGAGAAGGAGCAGCCAACCAUCACCCGGCCAGGGAGGCCAGAGGAAGGGAGCCUACCUGCAGGGGCCGAAGGGAUCCUCCAUGACUAACAGAGCCCCGGGUGAGUCUAGCUGAUCCCUGCACCUCUCUUACCGCUAAAACUCUGCCCUUUUCUACUCUAACUGCUCAAAAUGGAGGCACAUGCAGUCUGAGAGACCUCACAGAGCUUUCACUGAGCUUGUGCUAUGACCUAAGCCUCCACGCAGAACGCAGAAACUUCCCCUCACACUGACAGGACUGAGCAUGUGCUGUGACCCUCCCUCAUCCACACACUGUCUCUGCACGACGCAAUCAAUCUCAACCCUGCUGUUUCCGUAAAUAAAGCCCAGCCAACAGACGCAGCAGCUUCUCCCUGCACACCAAGCUAGUGUGCAGGGAAGUGGGGCCUCAGGAAGGGGAUCUGAGACAGCCAACGCCACAAGCUCGGCAAGCCCUGCCAGGUGGAGGCUUCAGUCCAUGCCUGCGCCUCCAGACAACAGCAAGUUCUGUUUUGUCUAUUUUUUUUUUUAAAGGAAAUGGUGGUCUUAAAUAGCAAGAUUUCCAAGAAAGAAUAGAAACAAAGGACAUAAACAACUAUGUGUAAGAGUAAUUAGCAGAAAUAUUCCAGCACAUUUAAAAUCAUAGUAGUAGCUACUUAAGAAAACCAACUCCAUACAUCUCUCUUUGAAAAUCUUCAACAUUUGGAAAACAAAUACACCACUGUAAACCUAUGGAGUGCAUGGUACUGUCACAUAGAAACAGACACAGUGUCUGGAGGGCAUGACAAGAAGGGUAACUCCCAGUGACUCUGGAGGCCAAGACAGGAUUACAAAUUUGAAGUCAGCCUCAACAACUUACUGAAGCAAAAAAAAAAAAAAACCCAAAACUGUACUGUAUGCAAAGAUUUAGAUCUUCCUUAAAGAAGCUAAAAACUCUCUCAAUACUAAAUUAAAAGGUUCCCUAAAGUAACACUAGCCCAAUCCAAUAUGGUUUGAAGACUGGCUUUCUCACAGUAAGAAGAGCAAGGAAAAUUCAAGUUAAGAGUUCAAAGAACACCAUGCCACAAACACCUGAGCACCCCCAAACCAUAUGUGAGGAUUGGGCUGGGGAUGUAGCUUAGUGGUAGAGCACCUGCCUAGCACACAUGAGGUCUGUGUUCAAUUCCCUACACCACAAAAUAAAUAAAUAAAUUCAUUAAGGUCUUUUCAGAAAGAUUUCUAAAUCCAUAAGGUCAUCCCCUCUUAAUGUAGUGAGCAUUAGGAAAGCACUCUCACUGUCUACACCAACAGUAGAGACAUUUUUCUAUUAAUACUCAGUUUAAUUAAAAACACAGUGUAUGCCCUCUCUCCCAAUUUCCACCUCCCAAUGUCCACCUUAUAAAGAAACUCUAUAGAUAGACUUAGUUUCCACUUGCAACCUCAGAAAUAAUUUUAUGUAUUACUUAGUUAAAAUUAAGAAAGAAAAAAAAUAAAAGGAAGACCAAUCUCCCCAGAAACCAUAAAGAACAAGAUAGGAUGGCAAGGCAGUGUGAAUUCUGUUUCCCAGAAAUGUGAAGAAAAGUCAGCACCACAGAAUCAAGUCCAUGCCCACAGUCUCCUAUCCAUGCUCUGAACUAAGACCAUGAGUCAAUAAAUCUUACCGUGCUCCAAACAUGACUUGUAAAGUACAAGUCAUGCCAAAUACACUUAAAUAAGUUUUCCUUUUGACCCAAUGCAUGAAAUAGGUUCUCCUCGUUGGUUUGUGAAACAUGUCUACAGAGCGGGUUUAAUAAGGAAUAAUCUAAAGAAAAUUACUUUCUGAAAACAAAAGUAAAGGAAUUAGAAUCUGGCAGCCAAGUAAUAUGAAUAUGACCAGAAAAGAAUUCCUCUCAGAAGGAUCCAUUAAAAUAAAACAAAACAAAAAAGCCCUAUCAAACCUUUUCACACAGAAAAUGUUCAUUGGGAGAAAUCACCAGAAACUAAUAAUUUAAUAUAUUCAUCACUACUCCGAGAAACCAUGGGAACGAUUACGUAAAGCACAGUAGAAAGUUACUUUACAGCAAGUCAAGCAAAUUACAUUUUCAAAAUUGUAUAUUCCAUCUCAAUAGAUACCUAGGAAACACCACAGGCACUUCAUCAGAACCUCUGUUACACUGGGUCCCAGGAGUAACAGCCACUUAACAUCAACAUCCUCUUCACUGUCUUUCCUUACACAGGCAUCUCACAGGUAUUCUUUACAGGCCACCAAAACAGAGGCUCCUUUUUCCUGUCACCAGUGGCUCUCCAGACCUCCUCUCCUUCACAUCCUGUCUCCCACAAUUCCAACCACAGACGGGGAGCUCUUCUCAGGCAAAAACAAUGUAUAUCUCAUCUGUUUAGAGCCACCCAACAAUUUUAUUUUGUAUCUCAACAAAUACACUUGAAACACAAAAUCAAAACCACCAUUUUUUGGCAAAAAAACUAAUCAUGAGGAAAACAUCAAACAAACUCAAAUUAAAGAUCAUUUGGUAAAACUGGCUCCUACUCUUCAGAAAAGCCAAUGUCAUGAAAAAUAUAGAAAGGUAAGGAAACAUCAGGAGAAUAAAGACAGGCAAAGGCCAGUAAAGAGACACAGCAAUGAAAAGGUGAUGCAGGAAGGAUCACGGGGGAGGGGGGGAUUACUAAGAAGACCAUUACUGGAAAAACUUGCAAAGUCUGAAUAUGGACCAUGUGGUACUCCAGCAAUGUUAACUUUCCUGAUUUUAAGAACAUUCUUCUUCUUGGAAAUAUAUACUGAAGCAUUUGGAGAAGAGAAGGCUGCUGUCUGAAGCUCACUCACAGAUCAUUCAGGAAAGAAUAAUAGUGUGUCAGCAGGGCACAGUGGUGCAUGUUGUAGUCCCAGCUACUUUUGAGAGGCUGAGACGGGAGGAUCACUCAUACCAGAAGACAGUGCCAGCCUGGGCAAUGUAGCAAGACCCCAUCUCCAAACAACAACCAAAGGAAAAUACUAUAGAAAGUGAUGAAGCAAAGAUGGCAAACACAAAGAUGAAUAUGGCAAGAAAAGAUAUCAUAAAGUAAAUGUGUAAUGAAGUUGAAAAGGUAGUGACAAAAAAUAUAUAAGAAAAAAGGAAAUAGGACAAAAUGUUAACAAGUGGAGAGUGGGUAAAAGAUAUAUUCUAUUCAUAACUCUUCUUUAUGUAUACAAGAUUCCAAAUUCAAAAUUUAAGUAUAUCUAAAGCAAACUAAAAAAUACCUUUACAGGCCCUACA